CAAUAGCGUAUAUUAAAGUUGUUGCAGUCAAAAAGCUCGUAGUUGGAUUUCUGGUAGGAGUGACCGUUCCGAACUUGAUUGUUCGUGUAUUGUGUUUUCUCCAGCCAUCCUUGUGGAGAACUUUUCUUGCAUUAAUUUGUAGGGAUUGGGACCCGCAUCGUUUACUGUGAAAAAAUUAGAGUGUUUAAAGCAGGCAAUCGCUUGAAUACAUUAGCAUGGAAUAAUAAGAUAGGACUUUGGUACUAUUUUGUUGGUUUGCAUACCAAAUUAAUGAUCAACAGGAACAGUUUGAGGAUAUUCGUAUGAACAUGUCAGAGGUGAAAUUCUUGGAUUUUGAUCAGACGAACUACUGCGAAAGCAUUUAUCAAGGAUGUUUUCAUUAA
RNAcentral lists this ribosomal RNA (383 nucleotides) under uncultured eukaryote. RNAcentral describes it as "partial 18S ribosomal RNA". It matches the Rfam family "Eukaryotic small subunit ribosomal RNA", at positions 592 to 976 of the family's 1831-position model. The record is from RNAcentral.